CAGGCCCUGAAUGAAGGCCGCUGGCUUGCUGUAGCCGUCGGUUUCAAGCAGGAGCCCAGAGCAAUGCCUCCCGGUCUGUUGGUGCUCCCGUGCCCGUGGAGCGGCCAGUUCGUGUGGGAGCCACAGGA
Small nucleolar RNA from Colius striatus (speckled mousebird), 128 nucleotides. NCBI's taxonomy places the organism in Eukaryota, Metazoa, Chordata, Aves, Coliiformes, Coliidae. The record is from RefSeq and is a predicted model, not a curated record.